AGGACGAACGCUGGCGGCGUGCAUAACACAUGCAAGUCAAGGGGGUCAGUAGCAAUACUGGCAACCGGCGAACGGGUGCGUAACACGUAAGCGACCUACCUCGGUGUGGGGCAUAGCCGGUCUAACGACCGGGUAAUUCCGCAUACGCUCUUGAGAGGGCAUACUCUUGAGAUGAAACCAGUAAUGGGC
Molecule: ribosomal RNA, 189 nt
Filed under: uncultured bacterium
Lineage: Bacteria
Description: partial small subunit ribosomal RNA
Rfam family: Bacterial small subunit ribosomal RNA
Source: RNAcentral